This 493-nucleotide ribosomal RNA is filed under the name uncultured bacterium. RNAcentral's name for it is "partial 16S ribosomal RNA". It matches the Rfam family "Bacterial small subunit ribosomal RNA", at positions 28 to 507 of the family's 1533-position model. The record is from RNAcentral.
GACGAACGCUGGCGGCGUGCUUAACACAUGCAAGUCGAACGGUGAAGCACCUUCCUUUUGGUGGGCGUGGAUGAGUGGCGAACGGGUGAGUCACACGUAAGUAACCUGCCCCCUUCUUCUGGAUAACCGCAUCAAAGUGUGGCUAAUACUGGAUAUUCUGCGCCUGUCGCAUGGCUGGCCUGGUUACGAUAUUGUUUCGUUGGGGGAUGGGCUCUCGGCCUAUCAGCUUGUUGGUGGCGUGAUGGCGUUGCGAGGCGGUGCCGGGUAGCCGGCCUGAGAGGGUAGACGGACAGACUGGGUGUGAGACACGACUCAGACUGAGACGAGAGGCAGAAGUGGAGGAUAGGGAACAAUGGGCGCAAGUGUGAUGCAGGCAGGCCGCGGGAGGGAUGGAGGCGUUCGGGUGGUAAACGUCUUUCGCUAGUGAAGCAGGUCUGUCCCUUAUGUGGGUGGGGUGACGGUAGCUGGAUAAGAAGCGCCGGCUAACUACGUG